This is a long non-coding RNA of Aedes aegypti (yellow fever mosquito), 529 nucleotides long. RefSeq lists it as uncharacterized. Lineage: Eukaryota; Metazoa; Arthropoda; Insecta; Diptera; Culicidae. The record is from RefSeq and is a predicted model, not a curated record. The transcript is spliced from 2 exons.
UUCAAAAUUAAAACAUUUUGAAACAUCUGAAUUAAAUUUUCUUUAGUGUCUAGGUAGAUGUUUUUUUAGAGUGUAUUGUUUUCAGUGGCUAGCCGGGAGGUUGAAAACAUCAUCCUGCGAUGGAGAUCCAAUUUAUCGGUUGGUGGAAGAAGAUUCAUCGAUUACUUAAAGAGUCUAUCGGGAUUUGAGUGACCAGGAUGGCGGUUCCAAAAAGUUCCGUCGAUGGCUCAAAGUUUCGUGGAUCAAAGGAUCAACGUUUGCUGCUCUCAUGCUACUGGAUUCGAAGAGGCGAUGUUGGGCAAGUUAAUGAUCGCAUUUGCACCCGAAGUGUAAGGUAAGCGCCUUAAAUUGUAAAUUUAUUGUCCAAGUGAUUGAAUCUUAAAACUUGCAAUGCAAGACCAAAUUCGACGGAGCUUGCAAUAAAGGCCGAAGAGAUCACAGCGAAAAAGGAACCGUUAUAUCAUUUUCAAGAAUACACCAUAUUUUUUUCUAGAAAAGUUUAGAAUAAAACCGCUUCCAAAAGAGUGUA